UACGGAGGGGGCUAGCGUUGUUCGGAAUUACUGGGCGUAAAGCGCACGUAGGCGGACUGGAAAGUUGGGGGUGAAAUCCCGGGGCUCAACCCCGGAACUGCCUUCAAAACUUCCGGUCUUGAGGUCGAGAGAGGUGAGUGGAAUUCCGAGUGUAGAGGUGAAAUUCGUAGAUAUUCGGAGGAACACCAGUGGCGAAGGCGGCUCACUGGCUCGAUACUGACGCUGAGGUGCGAAAGCGUGGGGAGCAAACAGG
This 253-nucleotide ribosomal RNA is filed under the name uncultured bacterium. RNAcentral's name for it is "partial 16S ribosomal RNA". It matches the Rfam family "Bacterial small subunit ribosomal RNA", at positions 524 to 776 of the family's 1533-position model. RNAcentral also lists the same sequence under 1 other name. The record is from RNAcentral.